GCCUGGGUGGCUCAGUCAGUUGAGUGUCCGACUUCAGCUCAGGUCACGAUCUCACUCUCCGUGGGUUCGAGCCCCGCGUCGGGCU
Non-coding RNA from Felis catus (domestic cat), 85 nucleotides. Lineage: Eukaryota; Metazoa; Chordata; Mammalia; Carnivora; Felidae. The record is from Rfam.